AAGCAUAUCAAUAAGCGGAGGAAAAGAAACUAACAAGGAUUCCCCUAGUAACUGCGAGUGAAGCGGGAAAAGCUCAAAUUUGAAAUCUGGCGGUUUUUGACUGUCCGAGUUGUAAUCUAGAGAAGUGUUACCUGUGCUGGACCGUGUAAAAGUUUCCUGGAAUGGAGCAUCAUAGAGGGUGAGAAUCCCGUCUUUGACACGGACUACCUGUACAUUAUGGUGUGCUCUCAAAGAGUCGAGUUGUUUGGGAAUGCAGCUCAAAAUGGGUGGUAAAUGCCAUCUAAAGCUAAAUAUUGGCGAGAGACCGAUAGCGAACAAGUACCGUGAGGGAAAGAUGAAAAGAACUUUGGAAAGAGAGUUAAACAGUACGUGAAAUUGCUGAAAGGGAAACGCUUGAAGUCAGUCGCGUUGGCUAGAAAUCAGCCUUGCUUUUGCUUGGUGUAYUUUCUGGUCUGACGGGUCAGCAUCAAUUUUGACCACUGGAUAAAGUCUCUGGGAAUGUGGCAUCUUUGGAUGUGUUAUAGCCCAGGGUCGCAUACGGUGAUUGGGAUUGAGGAACUCAGCACGCCGCAAGGCCGGGUUUCGACCACGAUCGUGCUUAGGAUGCUGGCAUAAUGGCUUUAAUCGACCCGUCUUGAAACACGGACCAAGGAGUCUAACAUGCCUGCGAGUGUUUGGGUGGAAAACCCAUGCGCGCAAUGAAAGUGAAAGUUGAGAUCCCUGAAAGGGGAGCAUUGACGCCCGGACCAGACCUUUUGUGACGGAUCCGCGGUAGAGCAUGUAUGUUGGGACCCGAAAGAUGGUGAACUAUGCCUGAAUAGGGUGAAGCCAGAGGAAACUCUGGUGGAGGCUCGUAGCGAUUCUGACGUGCAAAUCGAUCGUCAAAUUUGGGUAUAGGGGCGAAAGACUAAUCGAACCAUCUAGUAGCUGGUUCCUGCCG
This 940-nucleotide ribosomal RNA is filed under the name Inocybe atrisquamosa. RNAcentral describes it as "eukaryotic LSU rRNA". It matches the Rfam family "Eukaryotic large subunit ribosomal RNA", at positions 36 to 963 of the family's 3401-position model. Lineage: Eukaryota; Fungi; Basidiomycota; Agaricomycetes; Agaricales; Inocybaceae. The record is from RNAcentral.